RNAcentral lists this ribosomal RNA (497 nucleotides) under uncultured bacterium. RNAcentral describes it as "partial 16S ribosomal RNA". It matches the Rfam family "Bacterial small subunit ribosomal RNA", at positions 28 to 507 of the family's 1533-position model. The record is from RNAcentral.
GACGAACGCUGGCGGCGUGCCUAAUACAUGCAAGUAGAACGCUGAAGAGAGGAGCUUACUCUUCUUGGAUGAGUUGCGAACGGGUGAGUAACGCGUAGGUAACCUGCCUUGUAGCGGGGGAUAACUAUUGGAAACGAUAGCUAAUACCGCAUAACAAUGGAUGACACAUGUCAUUUAUUUGAAAGGGGCAAUUGCUCCACUACAAGAUGGACCUGCGUUGUAUUAGCUAGUAGGUGAGGUAAUGGCUCACCUAGGCGACGAUACAUAGCCGACCUGAGAGGGUGAUCGGCCACACUGGGACUGAGACACGGCCCAGACUCCUACGGGAGGCGGCAGUAGGGAAUCUUCGGCAAUGGGGGCAACCCUGACCGAGCAACGCCGCGUGAGUGAAGAAGGUUUUCGGAUCGUAAAGCUCUGUUGUAAGUCAAGAACGGGUGUGAGAGUGGAAAGUUCACACUGUGACGGUAGCUUACCAGAAAGGGACGGCUAACUACGUG